CCCUUAGAUGUCCUGGGCUGCACGCGCGCUACACUGACGAACUCAACGAGCUUAUCACCUUGGCAGAGAUGUCUGGGUAAUCUUUUGAAAGUUCGUCGUGCUGGGGAUAGAUGAUUGUAAUUAUUCGUCUUGAACGAGGAAUUCCUAGUAAGUGUGAGUCAUCAGCUCGCGCUGAUUACGUCCCUGCCCUUUGUACACACCACCCGUCGCUCCUACCGAUUGAAUGGUCCGGUGAGGUUCUCGGAUUUUUUCUGUUGUUUGGUUCGCUAAACGAUUGAAGAGAGAAGUUACCCAAACCUUACCAUUUAGAGGAAGGAGAAGUCGUAACA
Molecule: ribosomal RNA, 329 nt
Filed under: uncultured eukaryote
Lineage: Eukaryota
Description: partial 18S ribosomal RNA
Rfam family: Eukaryotic small subunit ribosomal RNA
Source: RNAcentral